GUCAUGGGCGCUUCCAGCAGCCAUCCCAAAUGGGCAAAAUCUUCACCUGCACUCCUCCCUCCCUACACGUUUCUGCAAUUACGAAUCACAAUCGUCCCCGUCAUCCCCCGAUCUUACGCGAACAGCCCUUUUCUUCUCUCCCCCUCAAUCUGUUCUAAUCUGCUUGGGUUAAUAUGGUGAGGAAUGGUAACCGGGUCGGUAGAAUCGACUGCAAAUUAUUAUUUUUCCUUCUGCAUGUGUAUAAAGUGAAUGUGGCCUCCCUCACCCUUACCUUUCUGUUUCCAAACAUUAUCUGGGGUCCUCAUCUACUGUGAUGGACUGAACUGAUCACAUAUAUAUCGUAUUUCCUUUUGUCGGCCCGCAGAGCACCCCACUAGAUUAUGUGAAUCGUGGCCCGGUUUAAUCCAUUGUAAUUAGACCAUGUAUUAAUGAUCACAACCUCUAAUGCAGUUAGCCACAGUAUCAGAAAAGAAGCAUUAAAAUGGUGUACGAUGUAACAUUGUCUUCUGCAUCUGCUGCCGCCUCUGCCUCCGACGAAAUGUCCCCUCCAAUCGCUGAAUUGUUAGCAGAGGAGACGAGCAACGCGACCAACUACCACGAGAGCAGUGAUCUGCUUCAGAACCUUGAGUGGUUCGAGGAGCAGCUUGGUGCCGAUCUCAAGUGGUCCUUUGCCAUUAACAGGUUCAGCUUAUUGACGGGAAGUUGCAGAGCGCCACAGUAAAUGAGUACAUUUAUCACGAGUGCUUAGUCCACCCUGCUCUUCUGCUGCAUGACAAGAUGGUUUCAGCCCCAAGCCCGUGUUUAUAAUAGGAGGCGGUGAGGAGUCCACUGUAAGAGAGGCGCUCAAGCACAAAACCAUCGAGAAAGUCAUCAUGUGUGACAUCGAUAAGGAUGUGGUGGAUUUGUGCAAACGGCAUUUAAUGGAAAAUCAGGGAUCCUUCAGUAAUCCAAAGCUUCAUGUUAUGACCAACGAUGCAAAGUCGGUAACAUGUCCCUGAAACCAUUGGUUGGACUUAUAUCUUCGUCUCAAUAACAAAUCUAAAAAAAUGGUAAAAUUUUUGGAGGGCUGAGCUGUAAAUGAGGUAUAGGAGACCUUGCAGACCCAGUUGAAAGAGGGCCCUGCAAUGACCUUCACACUAAGUCAAUCUAUAAGAAGGUCAUUAAGUCAAGGCUCACCAUCAAUGGCAUCUUCGUUACUCAAGCUGGCCACGCUGGAGUUCUAAGCCAUAAGAAGAUGUUCUCAUCAAUAUACAAUAUAAUGUCUUCAAGCAUAAGUCACUUCAUUGUUCGCUCAGAACCAAACAAUCUAAACAAAAUACAAGGGAAUAAUAUAUUGUGGCAUCCUUUCCCCUUACCUUGAGAUCUAGAUUGACGGGUUUUCCAAAUCAGCUAAUGAGACCUAAAUGAUUUUGAUUUGCAGAUGUCAUUGCAUACACUGCUCAUGUGCCAUCUCAUGCUGACUCCUGUGGAUGGGUCGUGGGAUCAGACCGGCCACUUAAUUUGUACGUCAACAUGAUCACCAAGAGGAUUGAGGGAAGAAUUGAAGAAGAGUUGCGGUACCUCAACAGCCCUUUCAUCAUUACAUCGACUACACUAAAUAAGACUUUGUACAAUAAGCUGUUGACAGAAACCAAGGUUUUCACGGAAGAGAACCUGAUGUUUGCUCAUGGACAAGGAACUGCUGACAGAUCGCAUGGUUCUGUCUGGGGUUGUCUUUGAUGCAUGGGAAUGCGAAAACAACUGAAUAAGUCAGGUAGUUUCAAAAACCUUCUGAUAGAUAUGUACAUGCAUCAAUCAAAUGGAACAUUUUGCUGAAAGACCCUCACUAUUUAUAAGAGGCUU
Non-coding RNA from Punica granatum (pomegranate), 1842 nucleotides. Lineage: Eukaryota; Viridiplantae; Streptophyta; Magnoliopsida; Myrtales; Lythraceae. The record is from RefSeq and is a predicted model, not a curated record.